AGGAUAAUAGUUAACAAUAACAUUUAAUUUGCAAUUAAAAAGCAUUGAUUUACAAAUCAAUUUAUCUUA
This 69-nucleotide transfer RNA is filed under the name Cryptocephalus bipunctatus. RNAcentral's name for it is "tRNA-Ala". Lineage: Eukaryota; Metazoa; Arthropoda; Insecta; Coleoptera; Chrysomelidae. The record is from RNAcentral.